UACGGAGGAUGCAAGCGUUAUCCGGAUUCAUUGGGUUUAAAGGGUGCGUAGGCGGAAUAAUAAGUCAGUGGUGAAAGCCUGUGGCUCAACCAUAGAAUUGCCGUUGAUACUGUUAUUCUUGAGUAUAGUUGAAGUGGGCGGAAUGUGUAAUGUAGCGGUGAAAUGCUUAGAUAUUACACAGAACACCAAUUGCGAAGGCAGCUCACUAAGCUGUUACUGACGCUGAGGCACGAAAGCGUGGGGAGCAAAC
RNAcentral lists this ribosomal RNA (250 nucleotides) under uncultured bacterium. RNAcentral describes it as "partial 16S ribosomal RNA". It matches the Rfam family "Bacterial small subunit ribosomal RNA", at positions 524 to 773 of the family's 1533-position model. The record is from RNAcentral.